Molecule: RNase P RNA, 358 nt
Filed under: Halobacteroides halobius DSM 5150
Lineage: Bacteria; Bacillati; Bacillota; Clostridia; Halanaerobiales; Halobacteroidaceae
Description: Bacterial RNase P class A
Rfam family: Bacterial RNase P class A
About the family: Ribonuclease P (RNase P) is a ubiquitous endoribonuclease, found in archaea, bacteria and eukarya as well as chloroplasts and mitochondria. Its best characterised activity is the generation of mature 5'-ends of tRNAs by cleaving the 5'-leader elements of precursor-tRNAs.
Source: Rfam by way of RNAcentral
UAAGGAGACUAGAUAGUCGCAAGUAUAGUAUAAUGCUAUAUUUGAGGAAAGUCCGAGCUCCAUAGAGUAGGAUGCUGGAUAACCCCCAGCCGGAGUAAUCCGCGGGAAAGUGCCACAGAGAGUAUACCGCCUAAUUAAUAUUAGGUAAGGGUGAAAGGGUGCGGUAAGAGCGCACCGGGUCUUUGGUGACAAAGUCGCAUGGUAAACCCCAUCUGGAGCAAGGCUGAAUAGGGGAAGGUUAAGAGCUACUCGUUCAUCUUCCCGGGUUAGCUGCUUGAGAUAGUAGGUAACUACUAUCCUAGAUGGAUGACUAUUACCUGUAAAGGUACAGAACUCGGCUUACAGGUCUGCUUAUUAU